Molecule: transfer RNA, 69 nt
Filed under: Crypturellus tataupa
Lineage: Eukaryota; Metazoa; Chordata; Aves; Tinamiformes; Tinamidae
Description: tRNA-Glu
Source: RNAcentral
GUUCCUAUAGUUGAGAAUCAACGAUGGUUUUUCAGACCAUAGGCCCUGACUUAAGUUGGGUGGGAAUGU